This 468-nucleotide ribosomal RNA is filed under the name uncultured bacterium. RNAcentral describes it as "partial 16S ribosomal RNA". It matches the Rfam family "Bacterial small subunit ribosomal RNA", at positions 28 to 507 of the family's 1533-position model. The record is from RNAcentral.
GACGAACGCUGGCGGCGUGCUUAACACAUGCAAGUCGAACGGAAAGGCCCUGCUUUUGUGGGGUGCUCGAGUGGCGAACGGGUGAGUAACACGUGAGUAACCUGCCCUUGACUUUGGGAUAACUUCAGGAAACUGGGGCUAAUACCGGAUAGGAGCUCCUGCUGCAUGGUGGGGGUUGGAAAGUUUCGGCGGUUGGGGAUGGACUCGCGGCUUAUCAGCUUGUUGGUGGGGUAGUGGCUUACCAAGGCUUUGACGGGUAGCCGGCCUGAGAGGGUGACCGGCCAAAUUGGGACUGAGAUGCGGCCCGGACUCCUACGGGAGGCAGAAGUGGGGAAUAGUGCACAAUGGGCGGAAGCCUGAUGCAGCAACGCCGCGUGCGGGAUGACGGCCUUCGGGUUGUAAACCGCUUUCGCCUGUGACGAAGCGUUAGUGACGGUAAUGGGUAAAGAAGCACCGGCUAACUACGUG